This 72-nucleotide transfer RNA is filed under the name Streptomyces phage WRightOn. RNAcentral describes it as "tRNA-Met". It matches the Rfam family "tRNA". Rfam says of the family: Transfer RNA (tRNA) molecules are approximately 80 nucleotides in length. Their secondary structure includes four short double-helical elements and three loops (D, anti-codon, and T loops). RNAcentral also lists the same sequence under 4 other names. The record is from RNAcentral. Lineage: Duplodnaviria; Heunggongvirae; Uroviricota; Caudoviricetes.
UGCGCGGUGGUGUAACGGUAACACGCUGGUCUCAUAAGCCAGAAGCUGCGGGUUCGAGUCCCGUCUGCGCUA